AGAGUUUGAUCAUGGCUCAGGACGAACGCUGGCGGCACGCUUAACACAUGCAAGUCGAACGAGAGAAGAGGAGCUUGCUUUUCUGAUCUAGUGGCGGACGGGUGAGUAACACGUGAGCAAUCUGCCUUUCAGAGGGGGAUACCGAUUGGAAACGAUCGUUAAUACCGCAUAACAUAAUUGAACCGCAUGAUUUGAUUAUCAAAGAUUUAUCGCUGAAAGAUGAGCUCGCGUCUGAUUAGCUAGUUGGUAAGGUAACGGCUUACCAAGGCGACGAUCAGUAGCCGGACUGAGAGGUUGAUCGGCCACAUUGGGACUGAGACACGGCCCAGACUCCUACGGGAGGCAGCAGUGGGGAAUAUUGCACAAUGGAGGAAACUCUGAUGCAGCGAUGCCGCGUGAGGGAAGAAGGUUUUAGGAUUGUAAACCUCUGUCUUCAGGGACGAAAAAAGACGGGACCUGAGGAGGAAGCUCCGGCUAACUACGUGCCAGCAGCCGCGGUAAUACGUAGGGAGCGAGCGUUGUCCGGAAUUACUGGGUGUAAAGGGAGCGUAGGCGGGAUCGCAAGUCAGAUGUGAAAACUAUGGGCUUAACCCAUAAACUGCAUUUGAAACUGUGGUUCUUGAGUGAAGUAGGGGUAAGCGGAAUUCCUAGUGUAGCGGUGAAAUGCGUAGAUAUUAGGAGGAACAUCAGUGGCGAAGGCGGCUUACUGGGCUCUAACUGACGCUGAGGCUCGAAAGCGUGGGGAGCAAACAGGAUUAGAUACCCUGGUAGUCCACGCCGUAAACGAUGAUUACUAGGUGUGGGGGGACUGACCCCUUCCGUGCCGCAGCAAACGCAAUAAGUAAUCCACCUGGGGAGUACGACCGCAAGGUUGAAACUCAAAGGAAUUGACGGGGGCCCGCACAAGCAGUGGAGUAUGUGGAUUAAUUCGAAGCAACGCGAAGAACCUUACCAGGUCUUGACAUCGUAUGCAUAGCUCAGAGAUGAGUGAAAUCUCUUCGGAGACAUAUAGACAGGUGGUGCAUGGUUGUCGUCAGCUCGUGUCGUGAGAUGUUGGGUUAAGUCCCGCAACGAGCGCAACCCUUACUGUUAGUUGCUACGCAAGAGCACUCUAGCAGGACUGCCGUUGACAAAACGGAGGAAGGUGGGGAUGACGUCAAAUCAUCAUGCCCCUUAUGACCUGGGCCUCACACGUACUACAAUGGCUGUCAACAGAGGGAAGCAAAGCCGCGAGGUGGAGCGAACCCCUAAAAGCAGUCUUAGUUCGGAUUGUAGGCUGCAACCCGCCUACAUGAAGUCGGAAUUGCUAGUAAUCGCAGAUCAGCAUGCUGCGGUGAAUACGUUCCCGGGCCUUGUACACACCGCCCGUCACGCCAUGGGAGUCGGUAACACCCGAAGCCUGUAGUCUAACCGCAAGGAGGACGCAGUCGAAGGUGGGAUUGAUGACUGGGGUGAAGUCGUAACAAGGUA
This 1470-nucleotide ribosomal RNA is filed under the name metagenome. RNAcentral describes it as "bacterial SSU rRNA". It matches the Rfam family "Bacterial small subunit ribosomal RNA". The record is from RNAcentral.